GUCAUGGUAUUCGCAACAGAUCCUUUUAUGUAUAAGGAUUGCAAGAGUAACUUGCAACGUCCCGUGUUUAACGUCGUUCCUUUAGUCGAACCAUACGCGACCGACGUUGGUGAAACAAAUGAUCCUGGAAGGUGUUGAUGCAAAACCCGAGAGUUAUGGUUAACGGCCCGAGUUUCGCCAUGACGGAUACACAUAAAAAACCCCGAGACACGCAACUAGUCGAUCAUUGCCAGGCUCAAAGAAAAACUGUCUGCAAAACUAUCAUUCUCAAAGUGGUUCGUUGAUAUCAAGAAAACAAAAUAUCAUCGGACACACUCAAACAAACAUUUUUCACAUGAAUCCGUCAACGCCAGCGGAUAGAUCUCGAAAAAAUACGAAACGUCAAAAAAAAAACCACCUCAAUCCGACGCCCGAGUCAAAAGUUAUGAUCCUUUCAAUGUUCCUCGACGUCGUAGACCAAGUUUCCUAGGCCGACGUAAACGUGGCCCGACGAUUCCUAGGCUGACGUGGAACGACCAGGCCUGAUCCGAAGCGACUAAGGUCCCCGACGUCGUAGACCAAGUUUCCUAGGCCGACGUAAACGUGGCCCGACGAUUCCUAGGCCGACGUAGAACGACCAGGCCUGAUCGAAUCGACUAAGUUCCCGACGUCGUAGACCAAGUUUCUUAGGCCGACGUAAACGUGGUCGACGAUUCCUAGGCGACGUAGACGACCAGGCCUGA
RNAcentral lists this unclassified non-coding RNA (722 nucleotides) under Elachanthemum intricatum. Its description in RNAcentral is "Artemisia intricata partial 26S-18S external transcribed spacer 2". The record is from RNAcentral. Lineage: Eukaryota; Viridiplantae; Streptophyta; Magnoliopsida; Asterales; Asteraceae.